This 497-nucleotide ribosomal RNA is filed under the name Pantoea sp. WB1. RNAcentral describes it as "bacterial SSU rRNA". It matches the Rfam family "Bacterial small subunit ribosomal RNA", at positions 62 to 550 of the family's 1533-position model. The record is from RNAcentral. Lineage: Bacteria; Pseudomonadati; Pseudomonadota; Gammaproteobacteria; Enterobacterales; Erwiniaceae.
UCGGACGGUAGCACAGAGAGCUUGCUCUCGGGUGACGAGUGGCGGACGGGUGAGUAAUGUCUGGGGAUCUGCCCGAUAGAGGGGGAUAACCACUGGAAACGGUGGCUAAUACCGCAUAACGUCGCAAGACCAAAGAGGGGGACCUUCGGGCCUCUCACUAUCGGAUGAACCCAGAUGGGAUUAGCUAGUAGGCGGGGUAAUGGCCCACCUAGGCGACGAUCCCUAGCUGGUCUGAGAGGAUGACCAGCCACACUGGAACUGAGACACGGUCCAGACUCCUACGGGAGGCAGCAGUGGGGAAUAUUGCACAAUGGGCGCAAGCCUGAUGCAGCCAUGCCGCGUGUAUGAAGAAGGCCUUCGGGUUGUAAAGUACUUUCAGCGGGGAGGAAGGCGAUGCGGUUAAUAACCGCGUCGAUUGACGUUACCCGCARAARAAGCACCGGCUANCUCCGUGCCAGCAGCCGCGGUAAUACGGAGGGUGCAAGCGUUAAUCGGAA